RNAcentral lists this non-coding RNA (30 nucleotides) under Homo sapiens (human). The record is from RNAcentral. Lineage: Eukaryota; Metazoa; Chordata; Mammalia; Primates; Hominidae.
UGACAAGACGAAUUGUCGUAGCCACUGAGC